RNAcentral lists this ribosomal RNA (519 nucleotides) under uncultured eukaryote. RNAcentral's name for it is "SSU rRNA". It matches the Rfam family "Eukaryotic small subunit ribosomal RNA", at positions 1161 to 1698 of the family's 1831-position model. The record is from RNAcentral.
AGGGCACCACCAGGAGUGGAGCCUGCGGCUUAAUUUGACUCAACACGGGAAAACUCACCCGGCCCGGACACUGGAAGGAUUGACAGAUUGAGAGCUCUUUCUUGAUUCAGUGGGUGGUGGUGCAUGGCCGUUCUUAGUUGGUGGAGUGAUUUGUCUGGUUAAUUCCGAUAACGAACGAGACUCUAGCCUAUUAAAUAGAUCGUUGGCUUACAAACGCCGGCGAGACUUCUUAGAGGGACAGGCGGCGAUUCAGCCGCACGAAACAGAGCAAUAACAGGUCUGUGAUGCCCUUAGAUGUCCGGGGCCGCACGCGCGCUACACUGAAGUGAUCAGCGUGCAUUUUGAAACCUGCUCUGUCAAGAGUGGGGAACCCAAUGAACCUUCUUCGUGAUUGGGAUAGGGGAUUGUAAUUAUUCCCCUUGAACGAGGAAUUCCCAGUAAGCGCGAAUCAUAAGUUUGCGCUGAUUACGUCCCUGCCCUUUGUACACACCGCCCGUCACUACUACCGAUUGAAUGUUU